GCCGAACACAUGCUUGUGUGACCUUGCCUUAGUCACUAGGAGGUCAGAUGCCUGCCUCGUGACAAGGAACCAAUCAGAAGUUAGCUGGUGGCGCUAUGCUUCAUGGCUCUGGGUGUGCCUUACGGACAACUGCACAGCAAUGACAUACAGAGCAUAGCAACCACCCUGGGAGGGUCUAUGGGCCAUAACAACCAGUUGACCAAUCAACACAGGGCAAGCCCUCCAAGCCUGGAGCCACACCAAUCCUGAGCCUGUGCAUACCCCUAGACACUCCCCUUAUGCUGCCCUACAAGAUCUCUAUGCAGCUGCUUUGAGCUGUCUUUCCUAGCCAUCCGCCAUGGUGGGUGGAUGAAAGACCCGAGCUAACAUGGGGUUAGCUCAUUAAACAACUAUAAUAAAGCCUCAUGCAGUUUACAUCAAGCUCUCGAAUCCACCUGGUGAUUGGAGUGAUCUCAAUCCUGGGCUGAGAUCCUGGAGGCCUGAGUUUCUGGGGAUCUUACAUUUGGGGGCUCGUCCUGGAUUUGCAACCACCCCUCACCUGAGUGGAUUCGAUCUUGGAGAUUCCACCUCAACUGUGAUCGGCAGAUGUGCCCGGAGGAUCACAGACUGCUUCCCUGAGGACACCCAGGAGACACAUCUGAGUAUAUCAGUUGCUGACUACAGGCUGUCCCUAAGUAGACUGUGAGCCCUGGACUUGCUGUGGAUGUGAACCAGUCCAGCUGAUGUGGACACCUCCUGUCUCUGCAACAGAAUCUGCCAACCAGAAGCUCCUGAUGGAAUCCCCAUUGCCUAAAUUCCCUUUUUUGCUUUUGACUAGCAUUUCAGCCUUCCUGGGUCCCUAACUUCGUCCCAAAGUCAGCAGGAAGUAGCAUGGGAAAGAAUAUGUUGUCCAUCUUCCCUGGUUGAAAUGCUAAAUCAGAAGGAACUCCCUUGCAUGGGGAUGCCAAUAUCUCUC
This 955-nucleotide long non-coding RNA is filed under the name Cricetulus griseus (Chinese hamster). RNAcentral describes it as "lncRNA (ENSCGRG00015035608.1)". The record is from RNAcentral. Lineage: Eukaryota; Metazoa; Chordata; Mammalia; Rodentia; Cricetidae.